ACAGUGGGGAGACGAGGAGCAAACAUCAUCGCUGAGUGACGACGAUAAGUCGUGUGUGUGUGUGUGUAGCAGAGCCUGUUCUAGCAGAGCUACCCAUAUGUAAAUAUUUGAUGCCGUUUUGUUUGAGGUGGUGCUGCCGUUUUAUUACAUAUGUCUGGCAACUCCAAGCCCUUUUCAGCCCUUUGGUGAUGGUUCUUCUUUCCGACUAAUCCGAGUACUUAACUACUAGUGUUGUAUUUGCUCUUUUACUAUAUGAUCAUGGGACCAAGAACUUGUGUCUUGUAACGUUUGUGGUGGCAUGUUGUGAUCAUAGUAAGGCAAAAAUAAGAAUGGGUGUGUAAUGUAUUUUGUAUAGAUAUGCAUCUUGUAUUAUUCUUUUCUACUAGGAUGAGAUGGAUCAAUAUAUAUGCAUCGUGUUAUACAGUGGAGAGACGAGAAGCAAACAUCAUCAUUGAACGACGACGAUCAAUCGUGUUGUAACAGAGCCUGUACUACCAGAGUUACCAAUAUGUAAAUAUUUGAUGUCAUUUUGUGGGAGGUGGUGAUGUCGUUGAGGUUCAAUACAAAGUCGUAGCAACAAUGGGUUGGUCAGAGGAAAAGUUGGAAAAAAUGUUUUUUUCACCAUUUUUCAGUAUGACGAGAGAUGCCGCUGACGACUGAGAUGCUGCUGCCGGAGUGGGGACGAGAUAUGCCGGUGCCGGUGUCGGAGUGGCUGGGGGGGGGGGGGGGNNNNNNNNNNNNNNNNNNNNNNNNNNNNNNNCGCCCUGCCACAGCAGCCUGGAGUACACUCCAUCGCUUAGAAAUGGCCCCUGUAGAUCGACGUCUGAGAACUACGAAACACCGAUAGUGCUGUCGGGGGGUGGUGAAGCUUCCCCCCUCCCCAAUCUUCCAAUCCGGUUGUGCCCCCGCCAUCUUGUUCUCCAUCGGUGUUCCAGUGCUACAAGAUCAACGUGGAUGACGGCAUCCAUUUGGGCUCCGUCGAUUCUAUCGGUUGGGUCCUCUGCGACUCUUCAGGCUCCACCCUCCAUGCAGUCGGCACCUUUUAUGUUCCUUGGUACCGGUGGCUUCAUCGUCGGCGAAAUUAUUGAUGCUUAGGUUACCUUCUCCAUGUUUUUUAAAUAUCUUUAUAAAGUAUUAUCGAUAGUUCUCAUUUUCUGAAUUAAUACUUAAAUUUUAUCGUUUUUUAUCCAUUACGGACGAAGCAAUCUAAGAAAUGAAAACAUUACCGAUAAAUCUGCCGGCAGGCCGAUAAAUUGACUCCGGAGAGGCCCAUACUUAUGGGCUUGAAUCAAGAAGCCCACGUCACCUUAUUA
RNAcentral lists this long non-coding RNA (1313 nucleotides) under Linum usitatissimum (flax). RNAcentral's name for it is "long non-coding RNA (LUSI_LNC007881)". Lineage: Eukaryota; Viridiplantae; Streptophyta; Magnoliopsida; Malpighiales; Linaceae. The record is from RNAcentral.